GAUAAAAUGGCUGAGAUUAGGCGGUAAAUUGUAAAUUUAUUAACGAAAUUAUUUUCUUUUAUCA
This 64-nucleotide transfer RNA is filed under the name Tympanogaster modulatrix. RNAcentral describes it as "tRNA-Tyr". Lineage: Eukaryota; Metazoa; Arthropoda; Insecta; Coleoptera; Hydraenidae. The record is from RNAcentral.